This 346-nucleotide ribosomal RNA is filed under the name uncultured eukaryote. RNAcentral describes it as "SSU rRNA". It matches the Rfam family "Eukaryotic small subunit ribosomal RNA", at positions 594 to 945 of the family's 1831-position model. The record is from RNAcentral.
AUAGCGUAUAUUAAAGUUGUUGCAGUUAAAAAGCUCGUAGUUGAACUUCGAACGUGGCUGGGCGGUCCGCCUCACGGUGUGUACUGUCUGGCUGUGUUCUCUUUCUUGGUGAGCCGGCAUGCCCUUAAUUGGGUGUGUUGGGGAACCAGGACGUUUACCUUGAGAAAAUUAGAGUGUUCAAAGCAGGCCUAUGCCCGAAUACAUUAGCAUGGAAUAAUAAAAUAGGACGUGCGGUUCUAUUUUGUUGGUUUCUAGAGUCGCCGUAAUGAUUAAUAGGGAUAGUUGGGGGCAUUAGUAUUCAGUUGCUAGAGGUGAAAUUCUUGGAUUUACUGAAGACUAACUAUUG